Molecule: ribosomal RNA, 264 nt
Filed under: uncultured archaeon
Lineage: Archaea
Description: partial 16S ribosomal RNA
Rfam family: Archaeal small subunit ribosomal RNA
Source: RNAcentral
AGACGUCUACAUUAGAUACCCCCGUAGUCCCAGCCGUAAACUAUGCGCGUUAGGUGUAUCGGUGACCACGAGUUACCGAGGUGCCGAAGGGAAACCGUGAAACGUGCCGCCUGGGAAGUACGGUCGCAAGGCUGAAACUUAAAGGAAUUGGCGGGGAGCACCACAACAGGUGGAGCCUGCGGUUUAAUUGUACUCAACGCCGGAAAUCUCACCGGAUAAGACAGCAGAAUGAUUGCCGGGCUGAAGACUCUGCAUGACUAGCUG